GCGCAGGCGUAGGCCCUGGCGCGUUCCCGGAAGAGCUCAAAGCAGAAAACGUAACAGCCCAGCUUUGAUUAAAGAUGACUUCCUUGUUUACUCAAGAAGUUCACCUUUCUAAAAGACAUGAAGAAAUAGUGUCCCAAAGAUUAAUGUUACUUCAGAAAAUGAAAAAUAAAUUCGGAGAUCAAAGCACAGAAAGGGCAUCUCUCCAAGCCACGGAGACUGCUUGUAGAAGGAACCUCCAGCUCUUGCAGAUUUGGGAUUAUAUUCUAUACUUAAGUACAUUGUAACUAACAACUGCUGCACUUCAAGCCAUGAAACCUCAGUUUGGAACUGAAUGUGACAGCUCACACCUGUAAUCUUGGGAGGUGAAGCAGGACUGCUGUGAAUUUGAGUGAAGCCUGAGCCACAGAUUGAAACCUUGUUUGGAAAACAAACCCAAGUGCUUGGUCCUCCAAGAGCUCCUCAACACCACAUACCUGUAGGGUUUAUGCUCCAAGACUUCCCAGAAGACACCUGGAACCAUGGAUCACACCACAUCCUCUGUACAAUGUUCACUCGUAUUUGCAUUCUUGUAAUGAGACUUAACUUAUGAAUAAGACACAGAAAGGAAUCAGCAACAAUAAAGUAUGAUGGCUAUAUUUUAGU
RNAcentral lists this long non-coding RNA (642 nucleotides) under Rattus norvegicus (Norway rat). RNAcentral describes it as "long non-coding RNA NONRATT010766". Lineage: Eukaryota; Metazoa; Chordata; Mammalia; Rodentia; Muridae. The record is from RNAcentral.